This 492-nucleotide ribosomal RNA is filed under the name uncultured bacterium. Its description in RNAcentral is "partial 16S ribosomal RNA". It matches the Rfam family "Bacterial small subunit ribosomal RNA", at positions 29 to 507 of the family's 1533-position model. The record is from RNAcentral.
AGUGAACGCUGGCGGUAGGCCUAACACAUGCAAGUCGAACGGCAGCACAGUAAGAGCUUGCUCUUACGGGUGGCGAGUGGCGGACGGGUGAGGAAUACAUCGGAAUCUACUUUUUCGUGGGGGAUAACGUAGGGAAACUUACGCUAAUACCGCAUACGACCUACGGGUGAAAGCAGGGGAUCUUCGGACCUUGCGCGAUUGAAUGAGCCGAUGUCGGAUUAGCUAGUUGGCGGGGUAAAGGCCCACCAGGGGGACGAUCCGUAGCUGGUCAGAGAGGAUGGUAGGCGGCACUAGAACUGAAACACGGACCAGACUCCUACGAGAGGGCGCAGUCUGGAAUAUUAGGCAAUAGGCGCAAGCCUGAUCCAGCCAUACCGCGUGGGUGGAGACAGCCUUCGGGUUGUAAAGCCCUUUUGUUGGGAGAGAAAAGCAGCAGGUUAAUACCAAGCUGUUGUGACGGUACCCAAAGAAUAAGCACCGGCUAACUUCGUG